RNAcentral lists this unclassified non-coding RNA (345 nucleotides) under soil metagenome. RNAcentral describes it as "partial contains 5.8S ribosomal RNA, internal transcribed spacer 2, and large subunit ribosomal RNA". The stretch from base 1 to 120 matches the Rfam family "5.8S ribosomal RNA", at positions 35 to 154 of the family's 154-position model. The record is from RNAcentral.
GAUGAAGAACGUAGCGAAAUGCGAUACGUAAUGUGAAUUGCAGAAUUCAGUGAAUCAUCGAGUCUUUGAACGCACAUUGCGCCCCCUGGUAUUCCGGGGGGCAUGCCUGUCCGAGCGUCAUUGCUGCCCUCAAGCACGGCUUGUGUGUUGGGCCUCCGUCCUCCUCCCGGGGGACGGGCCCGAAAGGCAGCGGCGGCACCGCGUCCGGUCCUCGAGCGUAUGGGGCUUCGUCACCCGCUCUUGUAGCCCCGGCCGGCGCUUGCCGACACAUCAAUCUUUUUUCCAGGUUGACCUCGGAUCAGGUAGGGAUACCCGCUGAACUUAAGCAUAUCAAUAAGCGGAGGA